RNAcentral lists this ribosomal RNA (429 nucleotides) under uncultured bacterium. Its description in RNAcentral is "bacterial SSU rRNA". It matches the Rfam family "Bacterial small subunit ribosomal RNA", at positions 355 to 776 of the family's 1533-position model. The record is from RNAcentral.
UCGGGAAUAUUGGACAAUGGGGGCAACCCUGAUCCAGCCAUGCCGCGUGUGUGAAGAAGGCCCUAGGGUUGUAAAGCACUUUUAGUAGUGAGGAAGGCUCGGUAGUUAAUACCUGCCGGGAUUGACGUUAGCUACAGAAAAAGCACCGGCUAAUUUCGUGCCAGCAGCCGCGGUAAUACGAAAGGUGCAAGCGUUAAUCGGAAUUACUGGGCGUAAAGCGCGCGUAGGCGGCUUGGUAAGUUGGGUGUGAAAGCCCCGGGCUCAACCUGGGAACUGCAUCCAAAACUGCCUGGCUAGAGUAUGGUAGAGGAUGGCGGAAUUUCCUGUGUAGCGGUGAAAUGCGUAGAUAUAGGAAGGAACAUCAGUGGCGAAGGCGGCCAUCUGGACCAAUACUGACGCUGAGGUGCGAAAGCGUGGGGAGCAAACAGG